This 465-nucleotide ribosomal RNA is filed under the name uncultured bacterium. RNAcentral describes it as "partial 16S ribosomal RNA". It matches the Rfam family "Bacterial small subunit ribosomal RNA", at positions 331 to 793 of the family's 1533-position model. The record is from RNAcentral.
CCAGACUCCUACGGGAGGCAGCAGUGAGGAAUAUUGGUCAAUGGGCGGAAGCCUGAACCAGCCAAGUCGCGUGAGGGAAUAAGGCCCUACGGGUCGUAAACCUCUUUUGCCGGGGAGCAAGGGCGGGGACGUGUCCCGGCCCGGAGAGUACCCGGAGAAAAAGCAUCGGCUAACUCCGUGCCAGCAGCCGCGGUAAUACGGAGGAUGCGAGCGUUAUCCGGAUUUAUUGGGUUUAAAGGGUGCGUAGGCGGGCUUUUAAGUCAGCGGUAAAAAUUCGGGGCUCAACCCCGGCCGGCCGUUGAAACUGGGGGCCUUGAGUGGGCGAGAAGAAGGCGGAAUGCGUGGUGUAGCGGUGAAAUGCAUAGAUAUCACGCAGAACUCCGAUUGCGAAGGCAGCUUACUAUGCCAUAACUGACACUGAAGCACGAAAGCGUGGGGAUCAAACAGGAUUAGAUACCCCGGCAU